GAUCUUUAUUUUUAUUAUUUGUAAAUUAAAAAGAAUUAUAUUAUUUAUAUUUUAAUUAAAAAUUUUAUUGGGGUGAUAUUAAAAUUUAAAAAACUUUUAAAAUUAAUUGACAUAAAUAUAUGAAUAAUUGAUCCAAUUUUAUUGAUUAAAAAUUUAAGUUACCUUAGGGAUAACAGCGUAAUUUUUUUUUAGAGUUCAUAUCGACAAAAAAGAUUGC
RNAcentral lists this ribosomal RNA (217 nucleotides) under Culex putumayensis. RNAcentral describes it as "partial 16S ribosomal RNA". The record is from RNAcentral. Lineage: Eukaryota; Metazoa; Arthropoda; Insecta; Diptera; Culicidae.